GACGAACCGUGCGAACGUUAUUCGGAAUCACUGGGCUUAAAGCGCGUGUAGGCGGGCGGGCACGUCGGUACCUGAAAGCCCCCGGCUCAACCGGGGAAGCGGGGCCGAUACGACCGGCCUGGAGGGACGUAGGGGGACCUGGAACUUCCGGUGGAGCGGUGAAAUGCGUUGAGAUCGGAAGGAACGCCCGUGGCGAAAGCGAGGUCCUGGACGUCUGCUGACGCUGAGACGCGAAAGCUAGGGGAGCGAACGGG
This 254-nucleotide ribosomal RNA is filed under the name uncultured Singulisphaera sp. RNAcentral describes it as "partial 16S ribosomal RNA". It matches the Rfam family "Bacterial small subunit ribosomal RNA", at positions 524 to 776 of the family's 1533-position model. The record is from RNAcentral. Lineage: Bacteria; Pseudomonadati; Planctomycetota; Planctomycetia; Isosphaerales; Isosphaeraceae.